Molecule: ribosomal RNA, 555 nt
Filed under: uncultured bacterium
Lineage: Bacteria
Description: partial 16S ribosomal RNA
Rfam family: Bacterial small subunit ribosomal RNA
Source: RNAcentral
UAGGGAAUCUUCCACAAUGGACGCAAGUCUGAUGGAGCAACGCCGCGUGAGUGAAGAAGGUCUUCGGAUCGUAAAGCUCUGUUGUUGGUGAAGAAGGAUAGAGGCAGUAAAUGGUCUUUAUUUGACGGUAAUCAACCAGAAAGUCACGGCUAACUACGUGCCAGCAGCCGCGGUAAUACGUAGGUGGCAAGCGUUGUCCGGAUUUAUUGGGCGUAAAGCGAGCGCAGGCGGAAUGAUAAGUCUGAUGUGAAAGCCCACGGCUCAACCGUGGAACUGCAUCGGAAACUGUCAUUCUUGAGUGCAGAAGAGGAGAGUGGAACUCCAUGUGUAGCGGUGGAAUGCGUAGAUAUAUGGAAGAACACCAGUGGCGAAGGCGGCUCUCUGGUCUGCAACUGACGCUGAGGCUCGAAAGCAUGGGUAGCGAACAGGAUUAGAUACCCUGGUAGUCCAUGCCGUAAACGAUGAGCGCUAGGUGUUGGGGACUUUCCGGUCCUCAGUGCCGCAGCAAACGCAUUAAGCGCUCCGCCUGGGGAGUACGACCGCAAGGUUGAAACG